GGAGAAAAAUAAUUUAUUUAUUUAAUUUAAAACAGCAAGACUUCAGCUUCCACCCAGUCAGGGCUUGCAUUACAAUUUUGCAGGUGCAAAAACUCACACUUUUGAUGCCACAACUAGAAGUUUGUAAAAACUAUUUUUCUUGUCGUGGACACGUGAAGAGUUCUGUUUGCACCCUCAGCCUGGGCCAAAUAAUCAUCUUUAUUUAAAAACAAAACAGAACAAACAAACCAAAAAACCCUCAAAAGCACAAAGAGGCAGAAAGCGGCUGGUAAACCUGGUUAAAAGACCAAAGUUCAGAAAGUGCAUGGGAGAGGGACGCUGAGCUGCGGACACCGUUCCGGCUGCAGUACGUGUUAUGGCUGAGGUUACACUUGGGUGACUCAGGGAUGCAGGCAGAUGAACAUUAACCACACUAACAGAGGAGAAAGAAGCCCACUGGGGCUGUGCAAAGUGUCCAAGGAGCACAGCCCCUUUUGCCCUGAUCAGAUGUAACAGCCCCUCGCUUGAGAUCUGACUGGGCAACAUGGCAAAACCUUGUCUCUACAAAAAGUCAAAAUUUAGCCAGGCCUGUGGUCCCAGCUUCUCAGGGAGCUGAGGUGGGAGGAUCGCUUGAGCCUGGGAGGUGGAGGCUGCACUGGCACUACAGGCACACGAAACCACAUCCAACUAUUUUUUUUUUUUUUGUAUAUUUAGUAGAAACAGGGUUUCACCAUGUUGGCCAGGCUGGUCUCAAACUCCUGACCUCAGGUGAUCUGCCCACCUUGGUCU
This 768-nucleotide long non-coding RNA is filed under the name Homo sapiens (human). RNAcentral describes it as "HSALNT0001401". The record is from RNAcentral. Lineage: Eukaryota; Metazoa; Chordata; Mammalia; Primates; Hominidae.